UACGUAGGGGGCAAGCGUUGUCCGGAAUUAUUGGGCGUAAAGCGCGCGCAGGCGGUGCGUUAAGUCGGAUGUGAAAGGCUACGGCUCAACCGUAGAGCUGCAUCCGAAACUGGCGGACUUGAGUGCAGGAGAGGGGAGUGGAAUUCCCGGUGUAGCGGUGGAAUGCGUAGAGAUCGGGAGGAACACCAGUGGCGAAGGCGACUCUCUGGCCUGUAACUGACGCUGAGGCGCGAAAGCGUGGGGAGCAAACAGG
This 253-nucleotide ribosomal RNA is filed under the name uncultured bacterium. RNAcentral's name for it is "partial 16S ribosomal RNA". It matches the Rfam family "Bacterial small subunit ribosomal RNA", at positions 524 to 776 of the family's 1533-position model. The record is from RNAcentral.